UGCUAAAAUCCUAGGCAAUGUAAUAAACUAAUUAAAACUGCACAAUUUAAAAAACUUGCAUAUAAAGUAUUUAUCUACUGAAAUUGUUUAAUAAAUGUAUAAAAAUCUAACAUACGCACUUAACCUCGGCUAUAUAAUCAAAUUUUCUACAUGAAGUUUUCUUGGUAACAACAUUAGGUGUAUUUGGCGGUGUUUACAUCUGGAAACCACUUCUAGAACAACAUUUUGGAAUAAAAAUUGAACGAAAUACUGAGAAAUUAGACGAUACACCAAAAUGAACUAUUUUCUAUUAUUCGGAGGCAUGGUGGCAAUCACUGGGAGUUUUAUAGGCUAUAGAUCAUUUAUAUCCCCUAAGCUACAACGGAGCAGAGGAGACAGAAAUGAAGCAUUUGCUAAUUAUGUAUU
Long non-coding RNA from Ctenocephalides felis (cat flea), 405 nucleotides. RefSeq lists it as uncharacterized. The transcript has 3 exons. Lineage: Eukaryota; Metazoa; Arthropoda; Insecta; Siphonaptera; Pulicidae. The record is from RefSeq and is a predicted model, not a curated record.